RNAcentral lists this transfer RNA (62 nucleotides) under Kalasha nativa. Its description in RNAcentral is "tRNA-Asp". Lineage: Eukaryota; Metazoa; Arthropoda; Insecta; Hemiptera; Cicadellidae. The record is from RNAcentral.
GAAAAUUUAGUUUAUUAAAACAUUAACUUGUCAAGCUAAAAUAACUUACUAAGUAAUUUUCU